UACGUAGGGGGCAAGCGUUGUCCGGAUUCAUUGGGCGUAAAGCGCGUGUAGGCGGCCAGGUAGGUCCGGUGUGAAAACUCGAGGCUCAACCUCGAGAGGUCAUCGGAAACCAUCUGGCUAGAGUCCGGAAGAGGAGAGUGGAAUUCCCGGUGUAGCGGUGAAAUGCGCAGAUAUCGGGAAGAACACCUAUGGCGAAGGCAGCUCUCUGGGACGGUACUGACGCUGAGACGCGAAAGCGUGGGUAGCAAACAGG
RNAcentral lists this ribosomal RNA (253 nucleotides) under uncultured bacterium. RNAcentral's name for it is "partial 16S ribosomal RNA". It matches the Rfam family "Bacterial small subunit ribosomal RNA", at positions 524 to 776 of the family's 1533-position model. The record is from RNAcentral.